CUCCAACACAAUUAUUUGUUGCAUCAAAUCUCCAAUGUUGGAUAAUAGAAUAGACGACCUGUCACUAUAAAUUAUUCGAGUUUCACACAGACACAUGCCCUGAAGCUUGAUCUUAUUGUCUCACGAGAAGAACGCUACGACAACGGAACGAAAUGCUCGCAGUGUCCUAUUAAAGGGAGAUUUCCGCGUCAACUGGGAGAGUGAUUUCUGCGUCCUCAGGACCACGACGAACGUAGAAGAGGAAACCACAGAUUUCAACCGCGACGACAACUAUGCCGACGAUGACCCAUCCAGGAGCAUCCCACCAUGAAAUGUUCUUGUCGUCGGACGAGACCGAAUUCGGGACAAAUGAAGAGGGGAAGCACGGGCAACCUGAACAAUUCUGUGGACAGUUAUAGUUCUCCAUCAAGAAAGUCC
RNAcentral lists this long non-coding RNA (417 nucleotides) under Eucalyptus grandis. Its description in RNAcentral is "long non-coding RNA (EGRA_LNC006735)". Lineage: Eukaryota; Viridiplantae; Streptophyta; Magnoliopsida; Myrtales; Myrtaceae. The record is from RNAcentral.